CCUUAUCAAUAUCACAGACACAAGAACAGUUCUCAGUGAGUAUGAGUGACAGAAAGAAUGGGCAAACCCCUGAGCCUGCUCAUCCUUUGGUUACAGCUGGACUGGGUGAGCAGUAAACAGGAGGUGGAGCAGAGUCCUGAAGCUCUGAGUGUCCUGGAGGGGGACAGAUUGGCUCUGAACUGCAGCUACACUGAUAGCGCUAUCUACUUCCUUCAGUGGUUCAGGCAGGACCCUGGGAAAGGGCUCACUUCUCUGUUAUUAAUUCAGUCAAAUCAGAGAGAGCAAACAAGUGGAAGAAUUAAAGCCUCGUUGGACAAGUUGUCAAGACAUAGUGCUCUGUACAUUGCAACUUCUCAGCCCAACGACUCGGCCACCUACCUCUGUGCUGUGAGGCACAGUGCACAAUGGGCACCUGUCACCAACACCCAAACUCUGUGGCUGGGGCUCCAACCACGUGCCGUCUUGAAGCUGAAGACCUUUCUCCAUUAA
Ceratotherium simum simum (southern white rhinoceros) is the source of this 489-nucleotide non-coding RNA. Lineage: Eukaryota; Metazoa; Chordata; Mammalia; Perissodactyla; Rhinocerotidae. The record is from the annotation of a RefSeq genome assembly.